Molecule: RNA transcript, 5252 nt
Organism: Mus musculus (house mouse)
Lineage: Eukaryota; Metazoa; Chordata; Mammalia; Rodentia; Muridae
Gene: Myo19
Gene name: myosin XIX
Exons: 23
Source: RefSeq, marked validated
UGGGGAGGAGCCGGCGGGCUCCGGGCCAUCGAGCCGCGGUUGCAGUGCUCCGCCAGGCGGCCUGGAGCUCCCGGCUUUCUCUCCCGGCCGCUCCCGCGCUCUCUCUCCUCCACGGGCUCUUCCCGCUGCCUCACCCUGCCCACCCGCCCUUCCAAUCGGCCUGGGCUGGGACUACCACGCUGGGCGCCCGGGCCGUGGGACCGGUUUCAAGAUGACUCGGCUGCGAUUCCCACACUCCUGAGUCUUCUGCUGGAAGGAUGGCCUCAUGACCAGGUUGACAGACAGCACUCUGUGUCGGUGACACAGAACUCUGGCCGACCACACUGAAGCACGAUGCUCCAGCAGGUGAAUGGCCACAGUUUAGGCUCUGAUGCCGAAGGUAGGGCCUCCCUCAAGGGAGACCUAAGGGAGUUCCUGGGUGGGGAGAUCCCACUGCACCAGCUGGAUGACCUCACCAAGGUGAAUCCCGUGACACUGGAAACAGUCCUGAGGUGCCUGCAGGCCCGAUACACAGAAGACAUAUUCUAUACCAAUGCUGGCUGUACCUUGGUAGCUCUGAACCCCUUUAAGCACGUCCCUCAACUCUAUGCACCAGAACUGAUGCAAGAGUACCAUGCUGCACCUCAGCCUCAGAAAUUGAAACCCCACAUCUUCACAGUGGGUGAACAAACCUAUAGAAAUGUCAAGAGCCUGAUUGAGCCGGUCAACCAGUCCAUCGUGGUCAGUGGAGAGAGUGGAGCCGGAAAGACAUGGACAUCCCGAUGCCUGAUGAAGUUCUAUGCGGUGGUGGCUGCCUCACCGACUUCCUGUGAGAACCAUAAGAUUGCAGAGAGGAUUGAACAGCGGAUUCUGAACUCCAACCCUGUGAUGGAAGCUUUUGGGAACGCAUGCACACUGAGGAACAGCAACAGCAGCCGCUUCGGGAAGUUCAUUCAGCUCCAACUCAACAGAGCCCAGCAGAUGACAGGAGCUGCAGUCCAGACCUACCUCCUAGAGAAAACCCGUGUGGCCUGUCAGGCCUCCAGUGAGAGGAACUUUCACAUCUUCUACCAGAUUUGCAAAGGAGCCACCAAGGAUGAAAGGCUCCAAUGGCACCUCCCUGAGGGAACUGCCUUCUCCUGGCUACCCAAUCCAGAAAGCAGUUUGGAAGAGGAUUGUUUCGAGGUGACCAGAGAGGCCAUGCUCCAUUUGGGCAUCGACACCCCCACCCAGAACAACAUCUUUAAGGUCCUAGCUGGACUGCUGCACCUUGGCAAUGUCCAUUUUGUUGACUCAGAGGAUGAAGCCCUGCCCUGCCAAGUGAUGGAUGAUACCAAGGUCUCUGUGAGGACCUCAGCCUUGCUGCUGCAGCUCCCAGAGAAAAUGCUGCUGGAGAGUAUGCAGAUUCGAACCAUCAAGGCAGGCAAGCAGCAGCAGGUGUUCCAGAAGCCCUGCUCCCGAGCCGAGUGUGACACACGCAGAGACUGUCUGGCCAAACUGAUCUAUGCACGGCUGUUCGACUGGCUGGUGUCUGUGAUCAACAGCAGCAUCUGUGCAGACUCCAAAUCAUGGACUGCCUUCAUAGGGCUGCUAGAUGUGUAUGGGUUUGAGUCAUUUCCUAAUAACAGUUUGGAACAGCUGUGCAUCAACUAUGCCAAUGAGAAGCUACAGCAGCACUUCGUGGCUCACUACCUCAGGGCCCAGCAGGAGGAGUACGAAGUUGAGGGCCUGGAGUGGUCAUUUGUCAACUACCAGGACAACCAGACCUGCUUAGAUCUCCUUGAAGGGAGCCCCAUCAGCAUCUGUUCCCUCAUAAAUGAGGAAUGCCGCCUUAACCGGCCAAGCAGUGCAGCACAACUACAGACGCGCAUCGAGAGCACGCUGGCAGGACGGCCCUGCCUGGGCCAUAACAAGCUCAGCCGGGAGCCCAGCUUCGUGGUUGUGCAUUUCGCGGGACCUGUACGGUACCACACAGCCGGCCUGGUGGAAAAGAACAAGGACCCUGUUCCCCCUGAGCUGACUGAGCUCCUGCAGCAAUCCCAAGACCCCCUGCUCACGAUGCUGUUUCCUGCCAACCCUGAAGAGAAGACCCAGGAGGAGCUGUCUGGCCAGAGCCGGGCUCCUGCAUUGACUGUGGUGUCCAAGUUCAAGGCCUCACUGGAACAGCUCCUGCAGGUCCUACAUAAUACAACACCCCACUACAUUCGCUGCAUCAAGCCCAACAGCCAGAGUCAGCCACAGACUUUCCUCCAAGAAGAGGUCCUGAACCAGUUAGAGGCCUGUGGCCUUGUGGAAACCAUUCACAUCAGUGCUGCUGGCUUUCCCAUCCGGGUCUCUCACCAGAACUUCAUAGAAAGAUAUAAACUACUGAGAAGGCUCGGACCUCGCAUGUCCUCUGGCCUCGGGGGCCUGGAGCCUGCCGAAGGGUCCUCUGAGCAGCCUCUGUGUGCCAAGGAGGCCACACUGCAACCUCUACUACAGGACAUUCUCCAUGCUCUGCCAGCUUUAAUUCAGACAGCAGCCACUCCCAGUGACCCGGCUAAGAACACACAAAUCCCACUGUACUGUGGCAGGACAAAGAUCUUCAUGACUGACUCCAUGAGCUUCUGGAAUGUGGGCGUGCCCAGAUGCUGGAGCAGUGUGCCCGUUGCAUCCAGUGUGGCUGGAGGCGACACCGGCUCCAAAAGCAGGAGAAACAGAGGCGGGCUGCCGUGCUCAUCCAGGCUGGUAGGUGGGGCUGAUCCCGUAUGGCGGGUGUGACCAACACAAAGGCCAAGGGUAGUGUCCACACCUGUGAGCCCAGCUUUGGGGAACUGAGAUGGAUCUUAAGUUUGAUGCCAGCCUGGGUAUGUAGAGUCCUUGUCUCCAAGGAAAAAAUAUGUAACUUGUCUUUUUGUAAGUACUAUACCACAGAGCUACAAAUCCAUACAAACAAACAAACAAACGGUUUUAAAGGAACAGAUAACCCAGAUCCCACUCCUUCCUUGGGCACUGCUGAGGACUGAGUCUGAGACAGGCCCUUGGCAGUUAGAGCUCCCAGUCUAAGGCUGUAUGUGUUACCAUAUGCAUGCAGGUGCCCAUGGAAGCCAAAAGGGAAUCAGAUCUCUUGGAGCCAAAAGAGAUCAUGAACCACCAUGUGGGUGCUGGGAACCAAAUCUGGGUGUUCUGCAAGAGCAGUAAGUGCUCUUAACCACUGAGCCAGCCUCCCUCAGGAAUGACUUUGUACUGACAGAGUGUAUCCCUGGAAGAGCAGAUUCCAUACUUUUACUCUGGUUCUAAUGGUGGUUUUGACGUCUGUGCUGUUUCCUUAGCUUUUAGGUCCUGGUUAACUCGGAAACACAUCAGAAGGUUACACAUAGCUGCCACGGUCAUCAAGCACGCAUGGCAUAAGUGGAGAAUCAGAAUGGCCUGUCUUGCCUCUAAAGAACUGGAUGGUAUGGAGGAGAAACCCAUGCCUCAGGCUCCUGGUACCCUGCGGUCCUCGAUGUCCCCAGCACACACUAGGUUCCUGGGAGCAAUAAUCCAUCUCUGGCCCCUGGGACUGGUGCUAGCCAACUCAGCUGAUGGCGUACGUGGCUUUCAGAGGAAACUGGUAGCCCAUGCCUGCCUUCGGCUUCCCUCAGACAGACCCAGCAACAAAGUCCAGACACCACAACAGGAUCAGGCUGGUAUUACAUCUAUCAGAGCACUGCCCCAGGUAUGUUCUCGUUCUGUGAUAUCAUGGCAGUCCUUCCCACAGCUCCGAACUGUUCACUGAGAAAGGCAGGGAAAAAGGCUUGGAGCAGCAAAAGACUUCCUAACCCUGCUGGGUAAGCCAAAAACUCCAGGUGUGGAUUACUGCCGUUUUUUCAACUAAUGACCGACCGGGACUCUUCAGAGCCCUUCAGUUUUAAAACCACUUCCAAACAGUUUGCCUUUGAAGGUUUGGCUCUGCCUCACAAUAUGAGCUCCUCAGUUAGACAUGUAGCUGAGCCCUGAUGGACAUAAGCAGCAUCGUACAGGGUAAGUGUAAGAAUUAGAGUGCAUGGUUAACCCAGGAAGGACAUAGUGAGUCCCACUUGGAAGAAAUGAGUGUGGCUGUUACCUCAAAUGACACUGCAUUAGGCAGUUUCUCAGACUGUAUCACUUGGUUCCUGGUUGUCACUCUCUCAAUGAAAAAAGCAAAGGUAUGGCUGUCCUAUGUACUGUGGAGCUCGUUCCACUUGAAAGCAGAGCCUCAAGCCUGGUCUCAGCUUAGCCCCUCCCUGGAUAACCUGUGAUUGAUGGCACGUUGUCUCAGAACUUCCAUUUUCUCCUGUGAGCCUGGGUUAAUACUUAGCCUAGUACAAGGGACCAGAGAAAAGAAAGGCAAUCAACAAGAUGCUAUAUAAUAUGUAAAGACUCUCCCUGAAAUCAACAAGGGGUAAACAGAAGUGUUCUGAUCUUCCAGCUCUAACUAGUCACAAGAUAUUUCCAGUCUCAUGGAAUGGAUGUGAGAUUUUAUUCCUUUAUUUAUCUAAGCCCUGCCACUCAUAGGAUGCAUCUCUUUCUCCCUAGGGCUCGAUAAAGUUUCACUGCAGGAAGUCUCCACUUCAGUAUGCUGACAUCUGCCCUGACCCUUCAGCCUCCUGUGUUACUGGCUUUAAUCAGAUUCUGCUAGAAAGCCACAGGCCAGUCCAAGUGUGACUCUUCUACCCCCACCUGCCUGAGUGAUCUUUAGUGCCUUUGUUUCCACAAGGCCUUUUCCUGCCAGCUGUCUUGCCAAAGACAUUAGAUCCCACACGCAAGUGCCAAGCUAUUCCCACGGCGACUCCAACUGCACGUGCAAGCAAAUUCCAGCCUGAGCCAGGGCUUCAUGGCCAGAGUGCCAGCCUUCCAGGGCUGUGGCUUCAGCACUGGCAGGAUCUGGGGGUGCUGGGUACCAAGCCAGGAUUAGGGCCACAACAUCCCAGCUUAGUAUCUUUGUGCUCAAGCUCCAUCCAGAAUGUUGUCACUACAGCAAGAUGGAUACUGGGCCAUCCACAAGCACUUUAAAAGGGCCAAGUCACCCUAAAAUUGCCUCUAGAAUUUUGGCUGGGGGAGAACUUGCAUAUAGUUUACUAAGGGAACAAUAAUAUUUAAUAAACUGAUUUAUUUAAUGUUACCAAGAACAAUGAACAAUGCAGCAUCAAGAGAACCACACCUUAAAUUGUUACACUAUGUUUUUAAUUCAAAUGGAUAUACUUGGUAUUUAUGAUGCAACUCUGAACUGUACAAGAAAUAAAAUUUAGAACCAUCUAAAUAUAAAUAGCCAA